RNAcentral lists this ribosomal RNA (470 nucleotides) under uncultured bacterium. RNAcentral's name for it is "bacterial SSU rRNA". It matches the Rfam family "Bacterial small subunit ribosomal RNA", at positions 330 to 793 of the family's 1533-position model. The record is from RNAcentral.
UACGCACUCCUACGGGAGGCAGCAGUGGGGAAUAUUGCACAAUGGGCGCAAGCCUGAUGCAGCCAUGCCGCGUGUAUGAAGAAGGCCUUCGGGUUGUAAAGUACUUUCAGCAGUGAGGAAGGUGGAUAUGUUAAUAGCAUAUUCAUUUGACGUUAGCUGCAGAAGAAGCACCGGCUAACUCCGUGCCAGCAGCCGCGGUAAUACGGAGGGUGCGAGCGUUAAUCGGAAUUACUGGGCGUAAAGCGCAUGCAGGUGGUUUGUUAAGUCAGAUGUGAAAGCCCGGGGCUCAACCUCGGAAUUGCAUUUGAAACUGGCAAACUAGAGUACUGUAGAGGGGGUAGAAUUUCAGGUGUAGCGGUGAAAUGCGUAGAGAUCUGAAGGAAUACCGGUGGCGAAGGCGGCCCCCUGGACAGAUACUGACACUCAGAUGCGAAAGCGUGGGGAGCAAACAGGAUUAGAUACCCUGGUAG